ACACACACACACACACACACACACACACACACGCACAUCUACCUCUGAUUAAUAAGGGAAAGAACACGUAGAAUCAACAUUGUGACAUAUAUGGGAUUUCAUGAUGCAGCAGCCUCGUUCUAUCAUCCCGUAGACACUGAGAACAGCAUCUUCCUGUGGCUGUUAAGUUGAUAUCUAGGCAGUGUCCAGUCUUCUUUUUUUAUAUGGGUGCAUCCAUGUCCAUGUGUGGAGAAGUGGAUAUGGAGUUUAGAGGCCAACCUUGGCUGUUUCUCAGGAGCUGCCACUUUGUUUUAUAAGACAAAGUCUCUCAGUGGUCUGGGGCUGCCUGGUAGGCUUGGCUGGGUGGUCAGUAAGCCCCAGGGUUCUUCCUGUCCCUGCUACCUCAAUGCUGGGAUUAUAAAAAUGUGCCGCCACAUUUGUUUUAUUUAUAUGGGCUCUGGGGUUUGAACUUAGGUCCUUCUGAGCUCUCUCCGCCACUCAAUUUUUCAUUUUUAAGGAGACUCCUUUUCAAGUGAGGCCUUCCUUGAUUACCCAAAUAAAAUCAGCCUUAAUCAUAUCCCCAUUCUUCACCUCAAUGCUGCAUUCAAACAAGUUCAGAUUUUGUGGGAGAGACACAUUAAGGUCUGUGUCUAGACAUGACUUCUUGAGAAUUAUGUCAGUUUUGGCUUAAAUCUUUGGAGAAAAUGGCAGUUGAGAGUGGCGUUUUAUUAUUAUGAGCCUCUGUCAAUACGAGUCUCUGUUGAAUAAUUUCCCAUCAGCAUUAGCAUGCUGGCUCGAUGCUCCCUUCCCACUUUGCAUUGCAUUCACGCAGACCCUAUUAUCUGAUCCUACAGAGAUCUUGUUUAUAGUACACAAAACUCCCCUGGAGGGCUUUCCAUUUAAAGGGGAGAGAGGAGAGCAGACCAACAGUACGCCAGUGCAAAGCUAUAGCAACAUGUGGAGCUGAGCAUGGAGCGUGUGUGCACGUGUGCACGCGUGUGCGUGCGCAUGUGUAUGUGAGAGAGAGAGAGAGAGAGAGAGAGAGUGUGGUGUCUGUGAAUGUGUGAGUGAGUGUGUGUGUGUGUGUGUGUGUGUGUGUGUGUGUGGUGUCUGUGAAUGUGUGUGUGUGUCUGUGUGUGUGAGUGUGGUGUCUGUGAAUGUGUGUGAGAGUGUGUGUCUCUGUGAGUGUGUGUGUGUGUCUGUGAGUGUAUACGUGUGAUUGUGAGUGUGUGUGUCAUGUGCUGUUUGUCUGCUUGCCAGCCUCAGUUCAGAACCAGCAGCAAGGCAAAGCCAAGAGCAGCAAACUGCCUUCUGAGAACACCAGAGAAACAACAGCCUUUGCCCGACCAUCUAUUUUCUGCCCGUUUUUUUUUUUUUUUCUACACUGAAGGCUUAGGCAGAGAACUGACAACAUUUUCAAUUCGAAGCUUAUUCAACAUUUUUGUGUUGCCACAAUUAGGUAUCUCAGAAGCAUGUGCUGCCUUCCAUUCAAACCCCAGCGUCCGCUCUGACAGGUCACAGACUAAAAAACCAGGAUAAUGACAUUCUAUCUUGAUCGCAGGAUCCAGACGCACCAGUCUGGUGUAGAUCAAAAAAGAAAACAACAACUCAAGUGCUGAUUUAAUUUCCUUUGCCUCAGAUAUUGAGUUCAUAUUGAAAUGGCAUACCCAGCGUGAGUUUUGUUAAGAAUAUAGCUUCUUAGCAGUCUGUGAAAUCUACAAAAGUUUAAAGAAAUGUAAAGUCCUAAUGCAUGAUGAUUCAUAUUCAUUUGUUUUGCUAAUGGUUUAUAUACCUGUGUGGAUACUUUCAUUAAACAGGAUAGGUAAGGAGAUCUGAAUGAUUUAGAAUUUUAAAUGGUUUGUAUGUAUCCAGAACAUUGAGGAGAGAAUGAUGUAAAAUUUAAAAACUGAAUGUAUGGGUGCAUACAGAUGCCUGUGGGGCCAGAAGAGGGCAUCAGAUCCCCUGGAUCUGGAAUUAGGCAGUUGGGAGUGGCCCAAUAUGGGUGCUUGGAACUCUUCAGAAGUACGGCCCUUGUCAGGAGAACUAUACCACCUUAAGCACUGAGCCAUCUCUCCAGCCCUGGAUAUACUUUGGUUGGAAGACAGGCUCCAUUUGCUUGAGCAUCUCUUUAAUCUUACCAAUUCCAUCCCUGUUACCAUUUGAAGUUGUCAAUUACCCAGUCUUAACAGUUAUAUUGUAGAUACAGUGAGCCCACUUGGACUUUCCCUCUGGGGUUGAAAGAGUUACUCUCUUCUCAAAUGCAGAGACACACUUUCUUACCUUUGCCAACUCCAUCUCUUCUCAAGCACAGAGGCACACUUUCUUACCUUUGCCAACACUUGCCUCACAUUCAACUACUCUUCUGUAGACAGAGAAGUUUGGAAGAUGUGUCUAGAAUGUUUUCUUUUCAUCAGUCACCAGCUCACAAAUAACCACAAGAAGAUUUCUUAUGAAUUAUAAAAGCUUGGCCAUUAGCUUAGGCUGGUGCCACCAGCUCUUAUGACUUAAAUUAACCCAUUUACAUAAAUCUACCUCCUGCCAUACGGCAUUAUCUCUUUUCCAUCUUGCACUUCCUGCUUCCCCUCCAUGUCUGGCUAGCAACUCCACUUUUCUUCUUCUUCCCAGAAGCCUCUCUGUCCCCAGAAGCCCCACCUAACCUCUUCCGGCCUAGCCAUUCAGCUCUUUAUCAAGCCAGUCACAGUGACACAUCUUCACACAGUGUAAAGAAAUAUUCUGCAACAAAUGUGUCAAUCAUGGGGCCACUCCCAUUAUUUCAGUCAGCUUCUCUGCUUUGAAGUCUUGUCUCUUCUCUGGAUUAGGCACAUUACACUGGUAAAUAACCAUAUGCUGUUUGAGCUCGUUGAAAGUGGAUUUGAGGAGUAAAGAGGCCCUCCCUUGCCUCUGCCUAAAGGCAGGCUGUCCCCCUAACUUGGUAAUAAGAAGAAGGGAAAACAGCAAACCCCUAAGAGUAUUAAAAUUAUGUGGCCCUGAGAACAAUUAGAAGGUGAACGAUUUCCAAUCUAGAUGAUGAUUUUUAUUCCAUAAUGUAAGAAUUCGUGUGGUGGAGUGGAAACCGGGAAUUUCAGCCGGGGACUCUCAUUCAUGGAAAUAAAUCUCAACUGGGAACCUUAGCUGAUGGACUAGACUACUCUGGUUGGUUUCUGCUGCAUGUCGUGAGGGCCUGAUUUGAUGAUGUCAUCUAUCUAUUGCCCUUUGUUCUUUCCCUUGAAAGCAUCACUGGGGGUGAAGGGGGAAGGUGGCAGUAGGCACUCUAUUGAUGCCUCAGUGAAGCUUCCCCAGGGGAUUUCUGCUGGACAUUUGUACCCCUGUCCUGGUUAGAUGGUACCUUUGCCUGCUCACUCAGUUGGGCCACUCCAGUCACCUCUGCUGCAUGUGUGAGCACCUGGUUUGAGAUGUUCUCUGUCUCGUGGUUUCUAUCUGCUACUCACUCUUUACCCACCCUGUAACCUGAUCUGACUAUAUGAUUACUUAAUGAAUGCAAUCAUCCAAAACAGAAAGCACACAACUCUAGAUUAUUCUCCAGAACAUAUGGAACAUAAUUGGCACAGUCUGUAGGAUCUAUUAGAUUCCAUUCCUAAAUAAACCAAUCUAAUAAAUCCUCUUUAACAAUUCAUAAUCAUUAUGCCAGUUCUUUUCCUUCAGAGAGCUCUGAGCAAUAACAGACACUCUCUUCUUAUUCUCAAACAAAGUGAACAUGGUGACUUACAGGACCAAAGGAACUUGCAGAGGUGGGUAGUAAGGAGUCUGAGAUCUUGGACCAUCCAUGUGUGUACAGUGUCAUUUCUGGAGUCCUUAUCCAAGGGAAACAAGGGGGUCAGAGAAAGACAAGGAGGAGGCGUGAUGAAGGUGGAGAUGAGAAUGAUUAAAGAACAUGAGAAGCUUCUAAAAGCUGAAGAGACAAAGGAAAAAAUUCUUCCCUAUACCCUCCAGAAAGAAGACAGCCCCACUGAACCAUAUCAGGUUCCAACUCCCAGCAUUAUAAAAUCAUUAAUGCGUGUUGUUCAAGGCACAACAAUCUUAUAUCAUCAUCAAGAAACUGGAUACACCCCACUUUCUCAUUUUAGUCUUGCAGAAAGAACAUGGCUAAUCAGUAACCCCUCCUUGAUUUAUUUCUCUUCAUUCUUCCAGAAAGACUCUUCAAUCGGAUUAGAGUGUUGCCUUGGGGUUACUAUUGCUCUAAUGAAACACCAUGACUAAGUCCAAGUUGGGGAGGGAAGGGCUUAUUUGGCUUACACUUCCACAUCACUGUCCAUUACUGAAGGAAGUCAGGACAGGAACUCAAGCAGGACAGGAAUCUGGAGGCAGGGGCUGAUGCAGAGGCCAUGAAGGGAGGCUGCUUACUGGCUUGCUCCUCAGGAUUUGCUCAUCCUGCUUUCUUACACAGCUCAGGACCACAAGCAAAGGGAUGGCACUACCCACCAUGGGCUGGGCCCUCUCCCAUCAAUAUUAAUUAAGAAAAUGCCUUACAGCCAGAUCCUAUGGAGAUAUUUUCUUAAUUGGGGUUCCCUCCUCUCAGAUGACUCUAGCUUGUGUCAAGUUGACAUAAAACUGUCCAGCACAAGUGCCAGUCAGCUUCCUAAAACUGUAUUUACAGUUUUUUGUCAUAUGCAUUUUUUUCUGGGAAAUGAUCCACUGAAAGUGAUCUAUGUUUCAGCAUUGGAAAUGUCAGUCUUGCCUGGGCACUCUCAACUUCCUGCAUUAUCCCAAGAAGAGUGUGAUGGAGAUAAAAGAAGAAAAGGGUGAGAAAGAGCAUUGUCACUGUCCUUUGUUGGUGGUCCUUCCUCCAGGCAAACGAGGAGGCUGGGUGAGGUUUCCUACAAAAUGGCAUGCCUCUAUUCCCUUUAGGCACUGUUCUUUCUUACUUAGGCCAAAACCAGUCCAUAGUUGCCAAUAAGUUUGCUGAGAGGCAUUUUGUUGUACUCUCUGCUGUACUGGACAUGGUGGCAUUGAGACUGGCAGUGUACACAGGUGGUGUCCCUGAGGACCUGGCUUCCCUCCGUUCUUGUCCAUGACCACAGAUUAUGUCUUGACCACUACAUAGAGUUUAAGGGCAUCUCUGUGAGUUGGAACUUCUUUUCGCGCCUGUAAGGAUGUGGGCAGAAGAGGGAGUGUUUCCUGUCUGAUUCUCACAGGAGCUGUUAGCAGUAUCCUCACAUGAGCAAAGAGGGAAAGGUUAUUCAGAGUGAACCAUGGGCACAGAACUGUGUGGAGACUGUUGUUGCUGUCAGUGUGUGUGUGCACAUAUGCAUGCAUGUGUGCAUACGUGUGUGUGUGUGUGUGUGUGUGUUUGCUAGUAAAGGCCACAAGACAGAAGAUCCUCAGGAACUAGAGUUCCAGGCAUUUGUGAGCAUGGAGCUAGGACCUGAAUUCAGGGCCUCUGAAAGAACAGUGCAUGCUAAGCCAUCUCUCCAGCCCCUGGCUGGCUUCCGUCUGAAACAGUGUCAACAGCAACCCAGCUGUAGCUUGCUUUCAAGAAAGCUGUAAGUGUAAAAGAAACUGAAUGUAUUUUGUUUGCUGAACAAACUCGAAAAGAAACCAUAACAAUGACUUGAAAGUACAUAUAAAGACAACACAGUUGCCAAGGACUCUUCUCUCAGCUCUGUGUCAUGCCUUUGUGUCGUAUUUUAGAUAUUCAGAACUGAUAGCCCAUACCCUCCCUGUCCUCUGACAGAUUGGGGGACUAUAAUGAGAGCCGAUCCACAGUCUGUAAGGUUAAGAUAUCUUUAUUCAGAUAAACACCAACCAAAUGCAAGCCAGAGCGUGCCAGGGACAGCAAGGCAGGCAGGCAGAGAGAAGGGCCCCCAUGUGCCUUGCAGCCCCUUAAAAACCUAUCAUGAGUCAUCCUGACCUCACCUUGACCACGCCUUCACAGGCGUGGUCAGGCACACCUGUAGCCAGCCCUUAGGAGGCAUUGUUACGGUGUCUCCCUACAGGGGACUAUGGAAAUGGCAGAUCCAGACACAAAAUCCAACUGUUCGGAAUCUGAGUUCAGCCAUACCCUUUACUUCCAGCACCUACAAGGUCUCUUUCCCCAGCAAAGAGAUUUCAAGCAGCAGGCAUGCUGCCUGGCAUUAAUAUCUUAUUUGCUUUCAUGGGGAUGAGACAGUCCCUGCAUUAUCUUUUCCAUCUAUGAAUCGUUUACUCAAUACAAUCUCUGUAUAGAUGAGUCAUAAUUGACAGUGUUGAAAUACUCAAGUCAUCUAGGUAAGUGCUCAAUUGAAGCAAACUACUUUUUUCUUUGCCUGCUAAUGCCUCAGGAUAAAAGGGCAAUGUUUUCUAAAGCAGUUUUGCUUUUAGGUAUUAAUCUAAACAUUAGAACCAUGUGUCUUGUAUGUUUAUACAUCUCAAAUUGUAUAUAUGUACAAUUAUUUACACAAUUAUAUCUAUAAUUACAUAAUUAAUAUGUGGUUAUAUGUACUUGUACAAUAUCAAUUGUGUAUCUACCCAAACACAUUAUAUGUAAUGUAUGCACAAUUAUACACGGAGGGAGAAUGAAAUGAUAAAGUUCCCUAGAGCUCCAUGGAACACGAAUAAGCAUAUGGACUGUUCCCUUACACCUACUCCACAAGUUUGAGUAUUGAAGAUUUAUAUAGUUAGAGACUAUGUGGUGUAAAUAUGUAUAAAUUUAUAUUGUGCUAAUUUAUGGCAUGUGGUACAGAAGGCUGCUUGCAAGUUGCAGCGUAUUUCUUCCCACGUUUCUGCUGAAAUAUUCAUCUCUGGGUCCCUUCCUCAUGCUUGCCUUUGUCUCCCCGCAGAUGUUUGGAGCAGCUUGUUUUCAGAGGAGUGGAAGUAUGCUUCCUGAAUGCGAUUCAGGUAAAGAAUGCACUAUCUCAGCUAGGAGGCAACUGAAAGGGACCCCCUCACCUCCAGGUCUACCAGUUUCUCUUUGGAAGACAAUUGCUUCCAUGUAACAACAUUCUUUGUAUCUGCUAUCCCCUGUCCUACAUGCAUGACAGCAUCUUGUAAUCUAUGUGUUAGAACUCCAGUGGAGAGGGGAAACCUCAGAUUGUACACACACAUACUCCCUCACACAUACUCACCUGCACACACACACACACACACACACACACACACACACACACACACACACCUGCACACACCCUGACAUACACACAUUUCUACACGCACACACAUAUACAUAUAUAUGUUGUUUUUUAAAUAAACAUACCCUGGUGUGCAGUUUCAUUUGUAUAUUAGACACAGAAAGAGACUAAAAAUGAUAACCAAAAAAUAUAGCAAUAAUUACAGCACACCAUGACACAAAUUAUUAAAACCAAUGAAGUGUUAAUUCCUGAAAUGUUCCAUUUAAUAUUUUUUGACCAGAGGUAACCUAAACCACAGAAAUAGGCAAGACAGGAGUAAAAAAAGAAGUGUAUACAUAAAAUCUGCUUUAUGGGCCAAUACAUACACACACACACACACACACACACACACACACACACACACACACACACACAGAGAGAGAGAGAGAGAGAGAGAGAGAGAGAGAGAGAGAGAGAGAGAGAGAGAGAGACUGACUUACUUUAGAAGCACUCUGUCUAGUCCACCCCUAGUUAUUUGUGGCUGUACCAAAGGGGGAAAAAAUGGCUGGAGAUUCACAGAGGGCUCACGGACUGCAUUCCACUUAGCCCACUCUUGCAUCCCUGUAGGUUGCUGAAUGUCAUCCAGUUGACCUGCUUGAGUUAAUCAAUGUGUGUUUUCCUGGUCCCUCCACCUUGAGGCGUGUUCGUGGGAAGUGGAAUGACUGAGAAGGAGGCAGUGGGCAGGAAGAGGAAGAAGACCGGAGCCCCAAAUUGAUUAAACAGACCCCAGAUGAUCACCAGCUCACAGGGGACGGCGAGAGGUUUUAACCACCCACAGCUCUCCGUAGCCCAGAGAGUCCCUUCACAGGUCAGAUCCCUCUCUUGGCCAUCUAUUUUUAGAUUGCUCACUUUUCAUCUCCUGUUAGAACUGUGCUGCUAGAGCAGUUUCAGAAGAGACAUACUUGUGGUAGUAAUGGAAGCAUCUAUCGAUCGUACCAAGAUUGGAGAAUCAGAUCUACUUUGCAGGUCUUUUAAGUACCACUCAUUCACUAGCCCUCUCCCAGUGUUCCACCGCGGCAAGCUAACAUUUGCACACAUCUUCAACAUUUUGGAACCUUUUUAAAAAUGCAUGUUACCACACGAGCAUUUCUCAAUUGCCCUGUCAGCUUUAAGGUUUUUGCAGUGGAAGAAAAAUUGUUAAGUGUUUAUGAGGGAAGGUCUUAGAGUCAUUUAGCUGCUAAAUGUCACAGACCUAACACAACCAUAGCCUGCCUUUCCAAGAGGGAUUAGGAUGUCCUCUUGGACACCCUGGGUUGAGUAAAGCAAACAAACACAAAGAGUCCUGCAUCUGGAAUAAUUGCUGACAUGCAAGGUUUGCUAAUCUUUCUGGUGCUCCUGUCUGAUCUCCUCAGUGCCAGGAGCUGUUCCGGGUGCUUGCCUUCCAUGCUCACCACAGUCAGUGAGACCACACUCAGCUAGAAAAGAGUGUCCACGCUGAGGGGAAAUCAACAGAAAAAUGUGUCUGUAUAGAUUGUAGGGCCCUGGUAGAGGGUGAACUUUAGGAAGUUGGGGGGCCAUAUGAAUCCUGUGGCAGGUAAAGGGGUGCUGCUGAGAGUUUCCGGCAUGAAGGCACGACUUCCUUCCUGGGCCAUCUCUCACCUUCCCUAUAAUCUCUCGAGGGAGGUGAAAUGUUGGGACUACUCCAUUGCUAUUUUUCAAGUUUGGGGAAGGUGUGAUUUUGCUAGAAUGGAUAUUGUCAAUGACAAAACUGAGUCCCUGAGCCAAAUGGCUUCGAUGGUUAGUGUUGAUUUCCAACUUGGCAGGAUCUGAAAUCACCCUGGAGACAGGUUUCCAGGCACACUUGUGAGGGAUGAUUUAGAUCCAUAUAGUCCCUGGGCAGGCCUAUGAGGGACUUCCUUGGUUAAGCUAACGGAGAUGAGAAGAGCCAUCCUCUAAUUGUACUUGUGUUCUGGACAGCAUUCCAAAGAGAAGGAAGGAAGCCUCCCAAGGGGAUUCACCACCCUGGUCCCCGUCUGUAGAUGCAGCACAACCAACUGUCUCAUGUUCCUACCAGCAGCGUUUCUCCACCCUGAUGGACUUUGAACUGUGAACCAAAUAAAGCCCUUUCUCCCAUAAACUACUUUUGUCAGGAUAUUUUAUCACAGUGAUGGGAAAAGAAACUAGUUCAGUGGUGUUUGCAGAAAUUUGAUAAGGAAAUGGCUUGAAGAAUCUUGAAUGCAUUCAAAGGGGGGAAUCCUUUAGCAUCGACCGAAGAAACCCAUGCAGUGGAUUUUAAAGUUAGACAACUGAAAAU
RNAcentral lists this long non-coding RNA (9336 nucleotides) under Cricetulus griseus (Chinese hamster). Its description in RNAcentral is "lncRNA (ENSCGRG00015034111.1)". The record is from RNAcentral. Lineage: Eukaryota; Metazoa; Chordata; Mammalia; Rodentia; Cricetidae.